Pteropus alecto (black flying fox) is the source of this 2795-nucleotide long non-coding RNA. RefSeq lists it as uncharacterized. Lineage: Eukaryota; Metazoa; Chordata; Mammalia; Chiroptera; Pteropodidae. The transcript has 2 exons. The record is from RefSeq and is a predicted model, not a curated record.
GAGGGAGGGAAGGGCAGAGAAAGAGCCCGGGAAGAAGGAGGUGGCGGGCAGAGGAACGUAACGAAGAGCCAUGUGUAGGUGUCGGGAGCUCCCAGAAGGGCUGGGCCCCAUCCCCUGCUGCUCUGGGGGGCAGGGGCCGGAAGAUGGUGGCCAAUGAGGAGGGGGAGUGGAGAGAACUUGAGCCGGGCCUCCCCUCCCCCAUUUCCUCCUCGGUCUCUACACCGCCUCUGGAAGGAGCUGGGGGAUGGCUCCUGGGCCCAAGGUGGGGGAGGGGCCCGGCUGGCUGGUGAAUCGCUGGGAAUCCCGCUCUGGAAUGAGUUGGGUGUGAGAGCUGAGUGGAUCUCGGCCCCAGCCCCCUCUCCCUUAUCUCUUCAAGGAGACAUCUGGGCACUCCUUGGUGAAGAAUCUUCCCUUGGCUUCCCUGAAGCUUGCUGGGCACUCUGUUGACAAGCUCCAGUUCCCAGCUGGGACUGGUUUGCCCAAUCCAGGAGCAGAGGCCUGGCGACUGACCCUAGCCGGGCCUUAAUUUCCGUCCACCAGAACUACAAACUGUGGGACCAGGGUCCCGUGUUUGCAGAUCUCAGGAACAAACUCCGCCUGGGAGGGCGCGAGAAAAUCUUGCCUGCUUCCUGAGGGGGGUGGGAGAAGGCUGGAGGGGAAACCCAGAGAAGAGCUCCCAACUGGAAUUCUGCCCUCCAUCCCUCCUGCUAGCUAUGGAGUGAGGAGGAGGGCAUGGCCCGGAGGCCGCCCCAUUGCCGGGAGGCCUUCAUUGGUCGGUGCUGGAGAGGAAUGGCCCCAGCCUCUGCCCCUCUGGGCUGCACACAGUUCACGGGGUCAGAACUGGAGCUGGGCUUCCCCGGCCACAGCUCUACCCCGCUGGAGCGCUGAACUGUCGGCCGUUCAGGUGUCCCCCCAGGGCGGUCUUUUGGCUUUGGGUUUUAAUCAGUCUCAAGAUUGCUUAUCCGGGGUUUAACUUAGGUAGGAUGGGCAAGUUCUGGGUGAGCUUGAAGACUUCCUGAUGGGAGGCCCUGGAUAAAACAAACAACUCAGAUUCUAAUCCCACUGCAAGUAGGGAAGCCUAUCCCUACUACUCAUGCGAGAGGGGAACUCACCGUUUUGUUUCAUGCGGAAUCCAUAAAAUCCAUAAGGUGGAUUUUGAAGACCUCAGAAAGGAGAUGCAUGGGUGGGGUGUCACCUGCAGCUUCUGCCUCCAGGCUUGGAAGCGUCUCUGUGCUGCCUAAGGACCUGUGACUAUAGCCCCCACCCUCUGGUCCUGGAGCUUCAUCUGAGGUCCCCUUGAGGCGUGGAACUCCCUUUUAAACUAUGAAAGAGCUUUAGGGUAGGGAAGAAGAGAGAGCUCUGCAGUCCCAGUCAGGAAAUCCUCCAGAAUGGAAGCUGGCAGAGACACAAAUCCAGAUCAACUGCUUCAUGUGAGUGACCCCCAAACUGCUAGGACUUCUACCAGUCACUUCCUGUGAAGACUGCGUGUCAACCUCAAGGUAUCCCCUCGGCUGCCUCCAUGGAUCCUGUCGGCCAUCUCAAGACCUCAAGAAAAAGGUGGUCUCAGUGCUGGGAAGGAAGUAAGGAAGAAGGCAGAAGGAGGAGUGGAGAGAAAAUAGAUUAACCCUCAGCAUGGAGGAGAAGGGCAGAGGGAGGCUGAGUGGGCUAGGAGACCUGGACCGGGGGCGAGGAGGCAGGGCCGGCACGCCUCUGCUGCAGGCCGGAGCUCUUUUCACAUUGUGCUACUGUCUGCACCUACCACUAGCAGUGCAAUGUUAAAAGGGCAUUGGCCGCGUAGCGCUACCAGCGCCGGCUGCCUCCUCAGCGCCCCCCCUUAGCGUCGAGACUUCCUCUCCCAUCUGGGUGCCAACCUGCCACCCUGGUGGGAAUGCGAGAAGCCUCGCUGUUAGAGUCCGAAGAACAGCUCACGUUUAUGGAAGCACUACGGCAUGCAGACCACGUUCUAGACACUUCUGCGUUAUGGUGAACACUAACUAAUGACUUCUUGGCAAUGCCCCCAUUUUACAGAUGAAAAAACUGAGGACCGGAAGGUUUAAGCAAUGUGGCCAAGGUUAUACAGCCCUGAAAUUGCAGAGCCUAGAUACGGGCCUGUCUUAGGUCUGAGCUCAUCCAUCUUUUUGUAGACCUACCUGAAGAGGUUUGGGUAGGCUCUCAACUGGGAGAGUACCUGAGCUGAGGGGUGGAAGGUUUUGAUGCCAUCUGCUGGUUGUAUGAAGGUAUCUUCCAGUCUCAAGCCUUUAGAGAUAAAAAUGGCGGCUUGCUGGAUAAGAGGGAGGAGCCCCGAGAGUUGGUCUGGGAUUAGAGGGUGGACGGAAGAGAUUGGAAGAACCCUGUUAGAACCUGAGUAGACAGACCUCCAUAAGAAAAAGGGGUUGCAUAGGAAAGGGAAAAGGGUUAACCAGAAAAGGACUGGCCCCAGGGACAAGGACAUGGUUUUUAGGACCCCCUUGGUCUCAUUCCACACCCGUGGCUCCUUUCCUGGUCCUUGGGGCAUAGAAAGGAGACCUCACCUCCACCUGUAAUUAAUUCCCAGCAUGACCCCUCUUGGUCACAGGUAUUUGAUAAUGCUUCUUGAGGCAUCCAGGCUUUGGACAGUAUUGCCCGUGGGCUGAUCAUAGAAACGAAAUAGGAUCCCUGAGCCAAGCCUGUAGAAUGAUUCUCUCAGAAGAGAUUACAAGGAACUUGAAAGCAAUGACUAUGUCAUUUACUUCUUCGUUUUCCACAGUGCCUAGUUGGCUUAAUAAAUUGAGAGAGGCAUGUUUGAGCAGCCUUAA